This 253-nucleotide ribosomal RNA is filed under the name uncultured bacterium. Its description in RNAcentral is "partial 16S ribosomal RNA". It matches the Rfam family "Bacterial small subunit ribosomal RNA", at positions 524 to 776 of the family's 1533-position model. The record is from RNAcentral.
UACGUAGGGGGCUAGCGUUGUCCGGAAUCAUUGGGCGUAAAGAGCGUGUAGGCGGUCCGGUAAGUCCGCUGUGAAAGUCGGGGGCUCAACCCUCGAAUGCCGGUGGAUACUGUCGGGCUAGAGUCCGGAAGAGGCGAGUGGAAUUCCUGGUGUAGCGGUGAAAUGCGCAGAUAUCAGGAAGAACACCCGUGGCUAAGGCGGAUCUCUGGACAGUUACUGACACUGAGGCACGAAGGCCAGGGGAGCAAACGGG